Molecule: long non-coding RNA, 673 nt
Filed under: Homo sapiens (human)
Lineage: Eukaryota; Metazoa; Chordata; Mammalia; Primates; Hominidae
Description: HSALNT0361806
Source: RNAcentral
AAUCAAGGCAAGAUUAUAAAAAACUUUGAAGAUAUAAUAAAAAGAUUAACAAAAAAGGAGACAUUAAAUAAUAAAGGAAAUUAAAAAAUUGAUUGGUUACUUCCUUCGCUGCAUACGAACACCUUGAUUGGCCAGCUGCCGUGGCUAGGCAACCAGGCGGAGAAUCUUUGGAACAAGUAGCAGACUUCAUCACAGCAGGAGCCGUGAGGCAAGAAGCUCUGGGAUCAAUUAAAAUGCCAGGCUUUUCCAGGCUGGUUUCCAGCGCAUCUGUGCAUGAUUCCACAUAAAUUUAGGGAAUUAGAGAUCAGACAAAGUUAUAAGACAGCUGUUGAUGUCCCACUCACCAGUUAGGAGGAUUGAGAAGAAGCUGCUUUCCAGGAAAUCCCAGUCGACUUCCAGAUAGAUCUCUUUGGUCAAAAAUGUGUCACAGCUCCAACUCUUUUUUUGUAAGAUGGUGAACACAGGCAGGGGCCACAUCUGACUUACCUCUAGCUCCAGGUACUAAAGAGCCACUGGGGAGAGCUCAGUCAUGUAAUCCAAUACUAUCUAAACAUGAACUACGGAGUCCCCAUCCAAGGCACUGAAUGAGAACAUCUGGAACACUCAAUAAAUAUUUCAUCAACAAAUAAAUGAGGGCUUUAAUUUACCAUUUCCUUUUUUCUUUGAGAAGCCA